RNAcentral lists this transfer RNA (75 nucleotides) under Felis catus (domestic cat). It matches the Rfam family "tRNA". From Rfam's summary of the family: Transfer RNA (tRNA) molecules are approximately 80 nucleotides in length. The record is from Rfam by way of RNAcentral. Lineage: Eukaryota; Metazoa; Chordata; Mammalia; Carnivora; Felidae.
GCCUGUGUGGCUCAGUCAGUUGAGUGCCUGGCUUCGGCUCAGGUCAGUCUGUGGGUUUGAGCCCCGCUUUGGGCU